This 496-nucleotide ribosomal RNA is filed under the name uncultured bacterium. RNAcentral describes it as "partial 16S ribosomal RNA". It matches the Rfam family "Bacterial small subunit ribosomal RNA", at positions 29 to 507 of the family's 1533-position model. The record is from RNAcentral.
AUGCACGCUGGCGGCGUGCCUAAUCCAUGCAAGUCGAGCGAACAGACGAGGAGCUUACUCCUCUGACGUUAGCGGCGGACGGGUGAGUAACACGUGGAUAACCUACCUAUAAGACUGGGAUAACUUCGGGAAACCGGAGCUAAUACCGGAUAACAUGUUGAACCGCAUGGUUCAACAGUGAAAGACGGUCUUGCUGUCACUUAUAGAUGGAUCCGCGUCGCAUUAGCUAGUUGGUAAGGUAACGGCUUACCAAGGCAACGAUGCGUAGCCGACCUGAGAGGGUGAUCGGCCACACUGGAACUGAGACACGGUCCAGACUCCUACGGGAGGCAGCAGUAGGGAAUCUUCCGCAAUGGGCGAAAGCCUGACGGAGCAACGCCGCGUGAGUGAAGAAGGUCUUCGGAUCGUAAAACUCUGUUAUUAGGGAAGAACAAAUGUGUAAGUAACUAUUCACGUCUUGACGGUACCUAAUCAGAAAGCCACGGCUAACUACGUG